AUUGAACGCUGGCGGCAGGCCUAACACAUGCAAGUCGGACGGUAGCACAGAGAGCUUGCUCUCGGGUGACGAGUGGCGGACGGGUGAGUAAUGUCUGGGAAACUGCCCGAUGGAGGGGGAUAACUACUGGAAACGGUAGCUAAUACCGCAUAACGUCUUCGGACCAAAGUGGGGGACCUUCGGGCCUCACACCAUCGGAUGUGCCCAGAUGGGAUUAGCUAGUGGGUGGGGUAAUGGCUCACCUAGGCGACGAUCCCUAGCUGGUCUGAGAGGAUGACCAGCCACACUGGAACUGAGACACGGUCCAGACUCCUACGGGAGGCAGCAGUGGGGAAUAUUGCACAAUGGGCGCAAGCCUGAUGCAGCCAUGCCGCGUGUAUGAAGAAGGCCUUCGGGUUGUAAAGUACUUUCAGCGGGGAGGAAGGCGAUGGAGUUAAUAGCUUCAUCGAUUGACGUUACCCGCAGAAGAAGCACCGGCUAACUCCGUGCCAGCAGCCGCCGUAA
Molecule: ribosomal RNA, 504 nt
Filed under: uncultured bacterium
Lineage: Bacteria
Description: partial 16S ribosomal RNA
Rfam family: Bacterial small subunit ribosomal RNA
Source: RNAcentral